Molecule: RNase P RNA, 338 nt
Filed under: chicken gut metagenome
Description: Bacterial RNase P class B
Rfam family: Bacterial RNase P class B
About the family: Ribonuclease P (RNase P) is a ubiquitous endoribonuclease, found in archaea, bacteria and eukarya as well as chloroplasts and mitochondria. Its best characterised activity is the generation of mature 5'-ends of tRNAs by cleaving the 5'-leader elements of precursor-tRNAs.
Source: RNAcentral
UUUAGGCAAAUGCUAUAUAUUUAUUAUAUAGAGGAAAGUCCAAGCUCACACAGUCUGUGAUGAUUGUAGUGUUUGUGCUAAGGGAAAAAAUAACCUUAGGUAGUAUAAUAUAUACUAACGGCUUCGAAAUAAUCCUAAAAGGAUUAAAUUAGAUAUAAAAGUGCCAAAGAGACGAGCCUAAAGAGUAAUCUUUAGGGUGGAACGUGGUAAACCCCGCAAGUGAGAAACCCAAAUCAUGGUAGGGGAGUCUUUACCGAUAAUUAAGAAUGAGGUAAAGGACCUAUUUGAUAGGUAGAUAAAUAUUUGCCGCCCUUUUAGGGUACAGAACGUGGCUUAUU